GUCUCCGUAGGUGAACCUGCGGAGGGAUC
RNAcentral lists this ribosomal RNA (29 nucleotides) under Neofabraea kienholzii. RNAcentral describes it as "partial 18S ribosomal RNA". The record is from RNAcentral. Lineage: Eukaryota; Fungi; Ascomycota; Leotiomycetes; Helotiales; Dermateaceae.